CACCACAGCCAUAUCACCCUGUAGCCCAAGACCAAUUACUCACCGAAGCUAAGCAGGGUGGAGCCUGGUCACUACCUUGAUGGAAGACCACAUGGGGAAAACAAGGUUGCUGUUGGAA
Danio rerio (zebrafish) is the source of this 118-nucleotide non-coding RNA. The record is from Rfam. NCBI's taxonomy places the organism in Eukaryota, Metazoa, Chordata, Actinopteri, Cypriniformes, Danionidae.